GCCGUGAUGGUGGAAUGGUAGACACGAGGGACUUAAAAUCCCUUGACCUGGAAGGGUUGUGCGGGUUCGAGUCCCGCUCGCGGCA
RNAcentral lists this transfer RNA (85 nucleotides) under Prevotella sp. RNAcentral describes it as "tRNA-Leu". It matches the Rfam family "tRNA". From Rfam's summary of the family: Transfer RNA (tRNA) molecules are approximately 80 nucleotides in length. Lineage: Bacteria; Pseudomonadati; Bacteroidota; Bacteroidia; Bacteroidales; Prevotellaceae. The record is from RNAcentral. RNAcentral also lists the same sequence under 2 other names.